AUCUUAGUCACCACAGAGUGUUCAGCACCUGUGUCGAUCAUGAAAGAACUUCUCUUUCCCCCUAUUGCUACAUCGACCAUAGGCUCCGCUUGACCAAGUGGGAUGGAGCCCGGUCGGUAACAAUAGUCUUCCAUGAUAGUAUCAGCCAGACCCACAAAAUCUCUAUCCUCUCUUUCUUUAGGUCUCUGCGUGGGUGGAUAGUAUCUGUCUCCUUGAACACUUCCUCUACUAUUCCCAUCAUUCCCUCUAAAAUUUCCUCUUCCUCUAUAACUACCACUAUAACCUCCUCGUACCCUUCUCUCUCCUUGUCUAUCACCUUCAUACUGCUCUCUCUGUGGACACUCACUCUUCCAAUGUCCCUCCUUUCUACAAUACGCACAUUAAUUCCUACUUAAAG
Non-coding RNA from Pelobates cultripes (western spadefoot toad), 397 nucleotides. Lineage: Eukaryota; Metazoa; Chordata; Amphibia; Anura; Pelobatidae. The record is from the annotation of a GenBank genome assembly.